Molecule: small RNA, 206 nt
Filed under: Arabidopsis thaliana (thale cress)
Lineage: Eukaryota; Viridiplantae; Streptophyta; Magnoliopsida; Brassicales; Brassicaceae
Description: ATSL168040
Source: RNAcentral
UAAUAACAGGAGGUUCUGGGCCGAAGCCCGUAAUCCCCCCAGGCCCGAAAUCACAGCAUAUAGUAUUAGUUUCGUCCCAAACGUCACUCAAACCGGCGACCUCUAAGCUUCGCCUAGGGUCUGUUAUACGAAACAUGUACACUUCAAAACAUGUGUCUAUACGAAGUGUGAAGUGUUAUAAUUCACACUUCAUAAACGUAUAUCUC